UAGAGAACUGCUAGCGGGACAGCAUUGCUCUUUCAAGGGAGCCUGAUGGAGACCACAGAUAAGGCUUUGCUUUUAAGAUCUAAACC
Molecule: long non-coding RNA, 86 nt
Filed under: Mustela putorius furo (domestic ferret)
Lineage: Eukaryota; Metazoa; Chordata; Mammalia; Carnivora; Mustelidae
Description: lncRNA (ENSMPUG00000024657.1)
Source: RNAcentral